RNAcentral lists this ribosomal RNA (253 nucleotides) under uncultured bacterium. RNAcentral's name for it is "partial 16S ribosomal RNA". It matches the Rfam family "Bacterial small subunit ribosomal RNA", at positions 524 to 776 of the family's 1533-position model. The record is from RNAcentral.
UACGAAGGGGGCUAGCGUUGCUCGGAAUCACUGGGCGUAAAGCGCACGUAGGCGGCUUUCUAAGUCAGGGGUGAAAUCCUGGAGCUCAACUCCAGAACUGCCUUUGAUACUGGAAAGCUCGAGUCCGGGAGAGGUGAGUGGAACUCCGAGUGUAGAGGUGAAAUUCGUAGAUAUUCGGAAGAACACCAGUGGCGAAGGCGGCUCACUGGCCCGGUACUGACGUUGAGGUGCGAAAGCGUGGGGAGCAAACAGG